AGCGAAAGCGAGUCUGAACAGGGCGUAUAGUUAGUUGGAGUAGACCCGAAACCACAGUGAUCUACCCAUGUCCAGGUUGAAGCACAGGUAAAAAUGUGUGGAGGACCGAACCAGUGAGCGUUGAAAAGCUUUUGGAUGAGAUGUGGGUAGGGGUGAAAUGCCAAUCGAACGUGGAGAUAGCUGGUUCUCCCCGAAAUAGCUUUAGGGCUAGCCUCAUGGCGAGAGUACAGGCGGUAGAGCACUGAACGGGGUAGGGGCCUAUCCGGCUACUGAACCUAAUCAAACUGCGAAUGGCUGUACUUAUCCAUGGGAGUCAGACUGUGAGUAAUAAGGCCCAUAGUCAAGAGGGAAACAGCCCAGACCAACAGCUAAGGUCCCCAAUGCCGUACUAAGUGGCGAAGGAUGUGGAAUUUCGAAAACAACCAGGAUGUUGGCUCAGAAGCAGCCACCAUUAAAAGAGUGCGUAAUAGCUCACUGGUCGAGAGACUCUGCGCCGAAGAUGUCCGGGGCUAAAGUACGGAACCGAAGCUUUGGCAAUUAACAUAAGUUAAUUGGGUAGGGGAGCGUUCCUGCAUGGGAGAAGCCUGACCGGAAGGACAGGUGGACAGGCAGGAAGAGAGAAUGCCGGUAUGAGUAGCGAAAAGAAGGGUGAGAAUCCCUUCCACCGAAAGCCUAAGGGUUCCUGGGCAACGAUCGUCGUCCCAGGGUAAGUCGGGACCUAAUCCGAGGCGGAGACGCGUAGGAGAUGGACAACAGGUUGAAAUUCCUGUACUGGCUGAGGCCGUUUGAGCGAAGGAGUGACACAGGAAGGAAGGCGCGCGUGCGAAUGGAAGAGCACGUCCAAGCAGGUAGGUCGGGAGACAGGCAAAUCCGUUUCCCAUAAGGCCGAGAUGCGAUGGGGAGCUUCUGGAGACAGAAGCGAAGGGGCUGGCACUAAACUGUCGAGAAAAGCUUCUAGUGAGGACUCAGGCACCCGUACCGAAACCGACACAGGUAGGCAGGAUGAGAAUUCUAAGGUGCGCGGGAAAACCCUCGUUAAGGAACUCGGCAAAAUAUAUCCGUAACUUCGGGAAAAGGAUAACCCAGCGUACGUGAAGUGCAGAAACGCAUGGAGCGGAGAUGGGUGGCAGAAGAGAGGCCCAAGCGACUGUUUACCACAAACACAGGCGUCUGCUAAAGCGAAAGCUGAUGUAUAGAUGCUGACACCUGCCCGGUGCUGGAAGGUUAAGAGGAAGUGUUAGCGCAAGCGAAGCAGUGAAUUGAAGCCCCAGUAAACGGCGGCCGUAACUAUAACGGUCCUAAGGUAGCGAAAUUCCUUGUCGGGUAAGUUCCGACCCGCACGAAAGGUGUAACGAUUUGGGCACUGUCUCAACGAGGGACCCGGUGAAAUUGAAGUACCUGUGAAGAUGCAGGUUACCCGCGACUGGACAGAAAGACCCCAUGGAGCUUUACUGUAACCUGAGAUUGGAUUCCGGUAAGAGAUGUACAGGAUAGUUGGGAGGCUGAGAAGUGAGUACGCCAGUAUUCACGGAGCCGCUGGUGGGAUACCAACCUUGUUUUAUUGGAAUUCUAACGAGAAGCGUAACGAGCUUGCGGACAGUCUCAGGCGGGCAGUUUGACUGGGGCGGUCGCCUCCGAAAGAGUAACGGAGGCGCCCAAAGGU
Molecule: ribosomal RNA, 1663 nt
Filed under: gut metagenome
Description: bacterial LSU rRNA
Rfam family: Bacterial large subunit ribosomal RNA
Source: RNAcentral